Molecule: small nuclear RNA, 103 nt
Filed under: Echinops telfairi (small Madagascar hedgehog)
Lineage: Eukaryota; Metazoa; Chordata; Mammalia; Afrosoricida; Tenrecidae
Source: RNAcentral
GCGCUUACAUCAGGAGCACGUAUACUAAACUUAGAACAGUACAGAGAAGACUAGUAUGGCCCCUGUGCAAGAAACGUGUUUUAAAAACUAUCCAGAGCUAUUG